Equus caballus (horse) is the source of this 10733-nucleotide long non-coding RNA. The record is from Ensembl. Lineage: Eukaryota; Metazoa; Chordata; Mammalia; Perissodactyla; Equidae.
GCCUUGGGCCAGGUGGCUGCUGCCUCUUCCUCAUGCUGGGCAGGGCAAGGAGGUCUCACUGUCUUCCCGGAGGAACUGACCCAACUACCAUGCGGCGAUUGCUUAUUUUGUGCUGGGAAUUUUCACAUACCUGAUAAGAUACCGUUGUCCUAACAACCGUAUGAGUGGACAGAACCCAGACUCCCCUAGACACCUGCCUCAGUUGCUGAGUCAGAGAUGUGGGCUCUGGUUGACGGCGGAGAGCUGUGACUUGACUGCAGGCCUGAGCCCAGAAAGAGAGAGAUGCUGUUGAUGAGAUGGUGCUCCUGGAGUCUUUACAGAAGGGCUAGUGGGACAGAGCAGGAAGAGGAGGCCUGGUGUGGGAGCUGGAUGGAGGAGAAGCAAGACUAGGAAGAGCUCCAGAUAAAGGCAGCCUGUGGAAAGGCCGGGGCUGGGUGCCUGCACUGUAGCUGCCUUAAAAAUGGCCCUGAGCAAGACCUGACCAGGCGGAGCCCAGAGCUGGUGGACCAAGCGACACCUGGAUGGGGCUGUGCGGCCAUCAGCAAGCGGGGCUUGCCAAGGUUAUUGGACUCCUGGGUCUUGAGGAACACCGUGAAGAUGAGGGCUUGGGAACCCUGCCCUGCUCCUUUUGUUCCGCAUCUCCCAUGACAUCGGAAGUCCCAUGCCCAGGACAACUCGCUCUGCAGAGAACCUGGGCUCCUUUUAGAAGACACAGGCUACAGAAACAGGAGUCCUGCUGCACAUGGUUUGCUUGGCAGGCCUGCGCUUUGGGGAGUUUACUGCCUUUGCAAUAGGACGCUAACGUGCUGGCCGGGUGGGCUUCCCUGCUUUGGGGCGCCAGUCCUGUCCUCACAGAAUGUGGUACUGAAAGAGACUUAGAGACCCUGGUCCACCUCCUCCCAAGAGUUCUUUCUGUAAAAUUCCAAAGGCUGCUCCGGGCUGGCGUGGGGCACAGCAUCAUUUCCCUCAUGCUGCCCCCACUUCCUCCCACCCCCUUGUCCGCAUCCACUCCGGGCCCUGUGUAGCUUGUUCCACAUGUUCCCUGCCUCCCUCAUCCCCUUCCAGGGAGAAAGACGUUUCCACUGUGCGUUCUUCUGACUCUCCCCAGCUCAUCCACGGGGACCGAAUGAUGAGCGCUGUCUGCAGCAAGGCCUCUUGGAGAAGAGCCUGUCUUGUUUCCCCAAAGGACCAGGGUAAACCAAGGCAGGGGCUGAGCUUCUGUGGCCCUACAAAGAAGCCAGCACUGAGGGUUGACAGGAGGCAGUGGGCUGGGACACAGCAUUCCCCUCGCUCUUCCUCCCUGUCCUGUUCCCUGCCCUCUUCAGCCUCCUCUUCAUGUUUCAUGUGCCCUGAAGCUCAGCCGCAACUUCCAGAUUCCUUGGCAUGGUGUUCACAACCUCACCCCACCUUCCUCCACAUUCCUGGGUGCCGGCCACGCUGUCUGUCUAACACCGGCACCUGUGGUGGGCUUGGGCACCUCCAUGCCUGUGCACCUGCUGUUCUCUCUGCCUGGAAUACGCUUUUUUGUCUGAUAAGCUCCCACUCAUCUUUCAAACCCACAUCAGAUCCCCUUGUCUGGAGUCUGCCCUGGACCUCUGCAGAGACAGGUGGGCAAUCUCAGCGGGCGUGGCCAGCCUCUUUAUGGGAGAGAGGGUUAAUCUAACUGCACUCUAACUAAUUAUUGGUCCUACUGUCUAAUUCCCGUUCCAGAGGGAUGCCCUCAGGAGCUCCCCCUGCAUGUGGCCUGUUGUAGGCACUCAGUAAACGGUCCUGUGAGUGAACGAAUGAAGGAAUGAGAAAAGGAAACAGCUGUCCCUUCCAGGGCCCCGUCUCUGACAGCCUUGCUCAGGACAUCCUCUCCAGAGGUGGCCUUUGAGCGCUGUCUGCUGCCCUUGCCCUCAGGCUCUCAGAAGGUCCUCAAGAUGAGCUUCCACCUGCCCGGCUGCCUCCAGGGGUUUCGUCAUUGCUGGUUGCCUGUGGCUUUUCUGGCCAGGGGAGAGGACGGCUGACAAGCUCUUGCCACCCCCUGCCCCCCUCGGACCUUGGGGCGCAGAAUCCUGGGGAACACAUUUAUUGUGCAGCCCGGCUGGCCUUUGCCCGGCGCAGGUCCUGGCUUGGUGGCCUGGGGUUCACAUACAGGGACGCACAGGCUCACGGUUUACAUGAAGGACCUGGCCUCACCAAGAAGCUGAGCCCUCAGGAAGACAACAGCCUUUGGGUACUUCCUGUAGCUAAUGCUGAGCAGAGGAAGGAGAGUCCCCCCUCCAGACUCACCCAUCCAAGGAGCUGGUUUCAGGAAACUCAAGAAAUCAUAUGCUGCAGAAGGUUUGGAAAAGGUUGCCCAGGUUUUACAUGAAGAAAGGGACUCUAUCUGUGUGAUUCACCACUGAGUUCCCAGUACGCUGCAUGCUGCAGGCAUAUAGAAGCUCAGAUUCAUAGCUGAUAAAUCUUAAAGAGAGGAAAACACAGUCACAGGGAGUUCCCUUGCAUUGCCUGAAAUUCCACAGCAAGUCAGCGACAAAGCUGGGAGGAGACUCUGUCCUUCCAACUCACAGGCCAGUUCUCUGCGGGAAGCCGUUGUCUGUCUCCUCUUAGGCUCCUUUGGACGCCUCUGGGUGUCAGUUCUCCCAGGGGAAGCAGCGGCUGGGGUUGCGUCUUGAAGCUCGAACUGGCUUUGAGACUGUGCCUGAGACAGGGUGGGCAGGACUCAAAGGUCUGAAAAAGCUGGGAAGGGCCUGAUUUUGGUAAAAUUGGGCCUUCCUGUAGCAACUGGCAGGGGGAGUGACUUGGUCCUCGGGGCAGGAGUUCCCGUGGCCCAGAAUUGCCCAGCAGUCAAAUGUUAGGACACCGGUGUCUGGAGGAGCUCCUGGAAAGGGUCUUCCCGCAGCCUGGCCCUGUGGAGUUGAGGGAGGUUUGGGGAUCUCUCCUCCAGGACAGGCUCCAGAGAGCCCGCAGCAAAAGGGACAGUGUGCCUGCCCCGUGCCUCCCCUGUAGGGCUCUGCUCUGUUUCUUAAGGGGAAGGCUUCUAGCUAUAGUUUUGUGAGCUCCGUUCAGAAAGCUGCCUUCCCCAUGGACAACCCUGACUGGAUCAGAAUGUGAGCAGGAGGGAAACUGACUUUCUAAGAGUCUGUGCUUGGACUGGCCAGCCUUUGUUUCAAGGUCCUGAGAGCCAUGGGACUGAGAGUGUAGGACUGAAGCAGACUUUUGAACACCUACGUUUGCUGUGCCUCAGUUUCCCCACCAGGAGCCUGUUGUCCAGGGGUUUGGAAAGCCGAUCCAGGAAAACACCUGCGACUGUAGGCAGCUCUGGUCCUUCCGAGGCCCUGCUCAUCAGACUUCCCCAGGGUCAGACAUCCUUCCGCACAGCUCUUGUUCAGUCUGUGGCCCAAACAGCCUAGGGCAUGAUGGAGGCCCGGAACAAUGGUGGUUUUGCUUACACAGCGUGCUUGGCCGCUGGCUGGACUCACGCAAUGCUCACGGAACCGGUGUGGGCUGCCACAGCUUCCCUGUGGGACAUUUAGCUCCCUCACUUCAAGUCCAUCAAAGGACUUGUUAUCCUGGUCCCCUUUCUGUCCGUUGUUCCUCUCCCCUUGGGGCUGUCCUCUCACCCUCUCCUGCCAUCCCUCCUCUUUCCAAGCUCUUGCCCCACAGAACUGCAAGGACUCUGAGACCUGGGACGUCUCACGGAGCCGGCUUUUGUCAGGCCAGUCUCCAUCGCUCUGGGGAGUCUGAAGGCUUUUUCUUUUAAAGAUAAGUUGGGGAGAGGGUUAGAAGAGUGCUGAGAAGUGACGCCUGUUUCUUCUUUCUUUUCCUUUCCCCCUCUGGGGCUCAGAGACCAGGGUUUUUUUCUUUUUUACAGUACAAUUUGGCAGGCCCCAUCUUUUUCUGACAGAAAAAAAAUAACAGGCAUAUUUUGGGCGAUUACUCAACUGGGGUCCUUUGUGACAGGAUAUGCAGCUGCGUGACUAAUGGAGCUGGCUUUCUCCUGGCUUCCUUCCCCUUUCAGAGUUCUUGUUUACUGUGCUAUACCAAAAAAAAAAAAAAAUGCCAUAAGCUACAGAUUUUUAUUAAAAAAAUUGCCUUGAGAGAUACUCAAAGGCAAUAAAUCCUGGGAUACUCCAUUGCCAGGGCCGUGAGUCCACACCCUCUUCCACUUUUUCUUUUCAAAUGCUCAAGCCCUUGACUCAUGACAUGUGAAUCUUCUUCUCCCACCCCCACAUCCCUGUUUUCUUCUGAACAUAUGUCCAACAGAUCGUGUGUGUGAGUGUGAGUGUGUGUGUGUGCGUGCGCGCGUGCACGUGGUGGGGGAAGGGAGCAAGAUGGGAACCAUAUUUUUAGUGCUUAACUCAGCAAUUGCUAAAGGAAGGAAUAAUGACUUCCAGGGGCCUCAGGGCCUUUUUUUUCCCAAGGCCUAUGCAUUUCCAUAAUCUACGGCAAUUUUGUGGUGUAAGCAAAAGUUAUUACAAAACAUGGAACUAGCUUAACGAGGAAGGGUAUGUUCUAAACGGGGGAACUGUCUCUUUACAGAAGAAAUCCACGUUUGGAGGGCUUUGGAAUUCAGAAUCCUCAGGCUUCCCAUAGAACUUUUGGAAGAGACUUUCGCUAGCUUGUAGCGUUCAACAGCUGGAGCUGGCCUUUUAACUUUCCUAGAGAUCAACAAGCUUUUCGUUUCAAAAGGUAUAUGGCCUGUGGAUGGGAAAAAUUGACUAGCGACUUAGCUUUGAUAGAGACAGAUUGGUGUAGAUGAGGCACAAGAUUUGUGGCCAGGUGAUGGGUUGGAGCCUUGAUUGUGAAAUGGAGCAAGUCAUUUAAGAUCUGUAGGUCUCUGAUGUUAAGACAAGGAUAGCAUCUCCUCCUGCCUAGGUUGCUGGCAAGAAAAGUGAGACGAUAGCAGUCCAAGGCGUGGGGGGAGCUACAAAGAAGUAUGCAGUGAUCACUUCUAAUGCUCCUUCAUCCAAAGGGUGGGCUCAAGCAAGCAUUCAACAGAUGAGAGGGGCUUGUUCCAUGAGAACUAUGAUGCCAACUGAUGUGCAGGGGCGAGGGUACUCAUACGGUGACCCAGGAUGCAAUAUUGCAGGGGUGUUUUUGAGGCUGAUCUGGCCUCCAACUUUGCCCACACCCUAGUCAUCUUCCACGCAGGUCUCAGAAUCAGAACUUCGAUCAUGUUCCUUUCAGGAAACUGUCUCAUCGAACCCAGACAAAAGGCUCCGCUAACCUCAUUGUGCCUGCCUUUUCUUCUGUUAUGAAUUCAUUUUUUGGCGUGUACUCUGCCCUAGAGAGGUGAAUACCAGACACAGUCUACUCUGGCCCCUGGCCCAACAUUUUUACUGGAUGUUGGUUGGAGGCCCCCCCUCCUCCUUUACCUUCCGUCGGUUCCUCUUCCUGCUCCUCUCUGUUAAACCUUGCUCAUUUGUCAUUUCUUUUAAGAUUCCAUCUACAACUUAGCUCCUCCUAGAGUCUCCAUGACCAAGGACUCCUUGAGUGGACACUCCAAACCCUCCAGUAAACCAUAGCAACUAUCUUUUUUACUCCUCAUAGCUCAAGUCUAAUGUCCUCGGCAAGGGAAGUUGACUUGAUUUUGCCAGAGGGUAAACUGAGGCACCAGUCAGGGAACUAACUGGCCAGGGAUUACACAGCAAGUCCGCGACACAGACAGGAAUAGAAACCCCACAUCCUGAUUCCAUUUCGCCUGGAGUUUAAAGAGGCACCUUAGCUUGGAUAUCCCAGAAUAGCUUCUCCCAGGCCGACCAGCUGUGAAGUGAUGUGUUGCAAGGGUUAUUUUUUGCCUUGGCUUAAUGCUUAAAAAAACACCCCAAACUCCUAAAAUCGGCUAAGAAAAUCCGUUUCUCACAAUGCCCUCAGCUUGCGGAGUUUAAACCCAGUAUAUUACAUCAUGAACGCCUCCUGGCCUCCCUCUCACUCACAGUGACGCUCAGGUAUCUGAGUUAAGCUCAGAAAUCAUAGUUUAUUGAAGGAAACAGAUCAUUAAGUCACUCCACUGGACUGAAGCCGUCGACAUUGCUUAUUUGGAGAAGCUGAGCGUUGAAUAAUGCUCCCUUGAUUCAUGUGGACUGGACUAGCAGGAGCUGUUCAGCGAAGGGUGUGGCCAUCAGAUGGCAUGAGGCCCAUGGAGGCUGCUAGGAAGAGGGGAAGUGACAGUGGUGUGCUGGAGCUGGCUUGCACUGGCUUGUGAAGGCUGAUGGUUAAAUUUUCAGGAAUUUUGUGAUCCAGUCGGUAAACACAGCCAUUAUGAAAAAUUAAAUUGCAUAAACUUGCAAUUAAAUAAAUUAUAUUAACAACAAAGGUAUUAAAUACUAAAAAAAGAUCACAUUGUAAUCAUUCUGCUACAGUUUACUAUUAUCUAUGCUCUUGAUUUGUACGCCCAUUAUGUCUCUACGGUGGGAAUACCACACAGUGGGACGCUGCUGUGAACCUCUUCCCAAUUCCACACUCAGUAAUUGCACGUCAGGUAGGUUGAAAUCAGCCGUGGUAAGAGUAUUUACACCACAGAAGUUGGCAAACUCUACGAUUCAGGGUUUGAUUUAUUGUUUUGUUGCUUGUCUAGACUUAAGAAAGUGGUAGAGAACAUGUUAAUCAAGUAGAUUAAACAUAAACGUGUGCCAUAUCUUUUGCAACGACAUUGUGAAUAACACAGAGUCAAGGAACUAUUCUUCCAGGAUUCAAAAACGGUUAUCCAAUUCAGCAAAGAAGUCGCUCCUGUCAUUGAAAAAUGAAGUUCUGAAAUAGGUAUUUGUUGUUUUACUUUUUCUUACUUAUUAUUGUAAAUGCAAUAAUCAACCAACACUUAUGUCAAUUCUACACUUGGAAAGCUGAUUAUCAAACAUUUACCAGCACACUGGAGUGUAUAUGGACUACCUCCUUGGGGUCCCAGAGAAAGAACAUUGUAGUAUAGGUAGAACUCACCAGUAAGGAGCAUGUCGGGGGGACAGCCAUGGAAUAGGAGAUACUAAGCGCUGGGAAGACAGCAGCACAGAUGAUACAAUUUAGGGCCAGCAGCCAGAGACCAGCCCAUCAGGAUGGGCAUGUGGAAAAUAAACCAGAUAGGCUAAAUUGUACUACUGUAUCAACAAAGUUAGAUAGUGAAAAAAAAGCCAUGAUGACUUCUAAAUUCAAGGUGAGGAUUAAUAUCGUAUAUUCACAGCGCCUUACAGUUCUACAGCCUUCUUACGCAUGAGCUCAUAUGACCAUCAGAAAGAACUGUGGGGUAAAUGGGUAAAUUACCUAUCACCAUCAUACCCAUUUACAAAUGGGAAACUGAGGCAAUGGGUGGUUAACUAGUUUGCCCAAGAUUACUCUUUCUACAUAAAUGGCCAAGUUCGGUCUUGAUGGAGAAACAGAAAUGGCACAGACGUUUGGGGCAGUCACACCUGGGUUAAAAACCUAAGCUUGUCAUUUAUAUAACUUCGGUACGGUAACUUUACCUUUUUAAGCCUUGGGUUUUUGUUUUUUACUUUUUAUUGAGAUUAUGAUAGUUUACAACCUUGUGAAAUUUCAGUUGUACACUUUUAUUUGUCAGUCAUAUUAUAGGUGCACCACUUCACCCUUUGUGCCCACCCCCUAUGCCCCUUUUCCCCCGGUAACCACUAAUCUGUUCUCUUUGUCCACGUGUUUAACUUCCACAUAUGAGUGGAGUCAUACAGAGAUUGUCUUUCUCUAUCUCGCUUAUUUCACUUAACAUAAUACUUGGGGUUUUUUUUAAACCUAGAGAAUGGGGAUGAUAAUGCCUAGGUCACAAGUUUGUGGUGAGGGUUGGUUUAAAUGAGAUAAUAGGUGGCAAGGACCUGGUCCUCAGGAGGCCGUCGUAAAUGUUCAUUUCAAGGGAGGGAGAAACCAUGAUGUUUUAAAAUUAUUUACAUUUGAUUUUGAAAUGCAGAAUAAAACUCUUUUGACUAACAUAUUUACUUUUCUACUUAUAUUUUUUAGGUUUGGGUAAAAUUACUCUGCGUGGUUUUAGGCCAAACCAAUCUGAGGAGGUGGGGGCAGGGCCAGGGAGGAGGCAGAGGAGGCCCAGAAGAGAGCUAGCCUGGGACUCAGGUUUCACAAAGGCCUCUUUGCUCACUGGUAAUGGAGAGAAUCAAUACACGUUGUCACGUUCAGCAACACACAGCACCAUUCUUAGCCCCAACAGCUAGAGCUCCAGGUGGACUUCCCUUUCUAGACCUGGCCUCUAUGUCACCACCCGCAGAAAUGAGGAGGCCCAGCCUCUGACCCCUCUAUCCCCUAAAACACUCCCAGCCUCAGCACCACACUCUGCCUUGGGGAGGACUAUCUCCCAGGCAGCAGAGGCCUCGGCCAUUCCUCAUCUCCCUGGCCAGAGAGGCAGCCCUCACCCACCAGGACUCCUCCUCUUUCCUCCUGGAUUUACCUUUCUUCUUAGCACUCAUCAUCCUGUGCCAUACCAUGUAAUUUACUAGACUGGGAGCUCCAUGAGGGCAUUUGUUUAUUUCAUCUGGGACCUAGAACAGUGCCGGGGAACACAGAAGGUGCUCAGUAAGUAGUUACUCAAAGAAGAGGGUGUCGUCACCCCACUCCCGUUUUUUUCCUAUUUCAAAUAACAAUCCAUUUUUUGAUCAACUUCACUGGACUCAGAUUUGGCUUAUGUCUCACGAGGGUAAACCAUGGUGGUGAAGGGUGUCGUCAAAGGCCUGAGGCAGAGCUCCAUGAAGGCAUCCCUGAAGCUGGUCCUCUGACCAGCCCUCAGACACUGAACGAGCAAUCCAGCUCAGUGGUUAAGAAGAUGCUGGUUCAAAUCCAGCCCCUACCACUGAUUAGCUAUGCAACCUUAGGCAACUUAUUUCUUCUCUCUGAGCCUCGUUUUUCUUAUCUGUAAAAUGUGGGUAAAAAUAUCCAUAGGUGGUGGCAUGGAUUAAUGAGAAAAAGCAUGGUGAGUGCUUAGCACACAGCCUGGCAUGGGGAAAGGGAGCCAGUAUUCGUCGCACAGUGAAGGUGGUGGAGGCGCAGGAGGGGGAUUUGGGCAGCGUGGAAGAGCAAUUCUAGGACAGCUGGAAAAGCCACACGUGCUGAAGACCUUGGCUUCUGUAGACACAGAUGACACCUGAUCAGCACAGCAUGGGGAACUGCAAAGGGGCUCUGGAGCAGUGACACUGCCUCAGGAGGGCCUGGUGAAGCUUUGGGGCUGUCACCAUCGCGGCCUAGCUGGACCCAGAGGCUGUUGUAGUGACUUUGUGACUUCGUGUAACUUCAUGUAUGGUGUCUAACACAGCUUUCUCUCCUGGGCAAAAUAAUGGCAAACGUGCCUCAACAUGUAGGGAGGGUACCACGGCUGAAGCCACAGCUGAGAAUCAAGGACACAGGAGUCACGAGAUGCACAGAGGUGAGGACUACAGGGUUUAGAACAAUCGGGAGGACUCCUGGGAGGAGCCAUAGAACAAAGAGAGAGGGCGGCCUCAUUUUCCUCCCACGAGACAGUCAUGGUUUCAUUAUGGGAGGUGAGUGUCCAGGGGGCGUUGGAGGGAAGGGACAUGGUGAAGAGGCAGGAGGAGAGACAUCAAGGACAGGAAGCGGCAUGUAUGACAGCGUCAAGUCCGACGUGAAGAGGCCUGGGAGGGGAAGCAGGGCAAGUAGGGGUACCCAGGGAGCCACAGUCUAUCCGGCUUCGGGCAGGCCUGCAUAUAUCAAUCGCUGGCUGCACAGGCUGCCCCCUGAACUGGUCCCCCCGGGCCGGCCCAAUUUAGGCUCAAAGCUCCGCGUUCUGCUUGGUAUUUUAAAUGCUGUGGGUGCUCAAGACAGUAUAGGAUAUAUGAAGACCGGCCUGGAACAGGAGCCAGGAGAUUUAGUUUGAGGUGCCCGAAAUGUCGUUUUCUAACUUCGAUCUUGAGCCUCAGUUUCCUUGUCUGUGACACAGGGAGGAGCAUGCCUGGCUCCUUCACCGGGUCACUGCCAAGGCUGGAUGAGAUAGAGCAUUGAAAGGACGUGGUCAAUCUCUCAGGCCUGUCUGCCAUUACCCCCUGGGGCCUUUGGCUGUGGGUGCUCCGCGGACCACUCACUUCAGCAAGCCCACGGGGUAACGUGGCCCCUGGAGAGCAGCAGAGCUCUUCUGGUUGAUUCCGACCUCCUGCCAGCCUGCCUGCCUGUGGAGACGCGGCCCCUGGAAGCUGGGCAGAGAGCCUUGUCAGCCAGUCAGUGCAACUCAGGCGCUAAGCCAUGGCUGGACGUCCGCAAAGCACUUGGGGCUUUUUGCUUGAAAGCCACUGGAGAGAGCCAAAGCAUAUCUUCCCUCCUGUAUUCCUCAGCAGGGGGCUUCUGCCUCGCCCCAGAAGCACCUGUGCGGGUAUAGACACGCACACCUCCUGGACACUGAGUCUACCCCUGAUAGUGUGUGACACAGUGCAAAUUCCACUCUCCUGCAGCUACCUCUUCAACUACAGGCAUUCCAUGUAGCCUUAAUCUCCCCGGGCCUCAGUUUCCAGAGCUGCAAAUAGGAGCCAGAGAUGCUGUAAAUCCCCUACCUGCUGGGAAAUCUUCUGAAAGCUAUUAUGGAUAGUUUUAGAUUCUCUGGGACCCCAUGGGCCAGUCUGCAUUCCCAGACCAAAGCAGCCAUUCCCUCAUUCCAGCUCAGAGCGUUUGGUGUCCCCAGUUGUCACCCACUGUAUGGCUCUAGAGACAGCCUGCCAGGACAGGGUUCCAGCUUCCACUUACUAGCUGUGUGACUCUGGGCAAGUCACUUUAACCUCUCUGUGCCUAUAUUUUCU